GAUGGUCACUAGUGGUGAAACCCUGAAUUGCCCAUAAGCAUCUGGCCCGUGUGGAGGGCAACAAUUUCUUCCAGAUCAGUGGAUAAAAUGCUUGUUUCAGACUUUUGUCUAUAACUUGACCCUGGAAAUUAUUCUUUCUUGCCCUACAUUCCAGCCUGGAUGGACUCAGAAGUUAAGAACCACACCGUAAAGAUCUAUUUCACCAGCAUCUCACCGUAAAGAUCUAUUUCACCAGCAUCUCUGUCCCCUCAUUACAGUAAGCUCUCUUCUGUCAUCUUCCUGUCUCAGAGCUCUGCUUGGAGACCAGUUGAUGAGAUCCAUACCUCUGUACCAAGCUGUGUGACAAAAGCUGUGGGUCAAGUACUGCCCAAGGAAAUUUUACAGGACAACACAGAAGACAAAGCACCAGUGAGGUUACAAAUGUCAGAAUACCUGGUUUGUUUUGGUUUGAAGAAUUUAAGGUGGGAAUCUGGAAGAAUAUUCAAGUAUUUUACUCUUGCAGGUGAAUUUCCCCCAUGUUCUUUGAGAUUCUCAUGAAUUAGGAACUGUGUGCAUCUGCACUGGACAAUUCUCAAUGUGCACACUAGGAUG
RNAcentral lists this long non-coding RNA (591 nucleotides) under Taeniopygia guttata (zebra finch). RNAcentral describes it as "lncRNA (ENSTGUG00000023623.1)". Lineage: Eukaryota; Metazoa; Chordata; Aves; Passeriformes; Estrildidae. The record is from RNAcentral.